RNAcentral lists this ribosomal RNA (253 nucleotides) under uncultured bacterium. RNAcentral describes it as "partial 16S ribosomal RNA". It matches the Rfam family "Bacterial small subunit ribosomal RNA", at positions 524 to 776 of the family's 1533-position model. The record is from RNAcentral.
UACGGAGGGUGCAAGCGUUAUCCGGAUUCACUGGGUUUAAAGGGUGCGUAGGUGGGUUAAUAAGUCAGUGGUGAAAUACGGUUGCUCAACAAUCGAGGUGCCAUUGAUACUGUUAAUCUUGAAACAAGUGGAGGUUGCCGGAAUGGAUGGUGUAGCGGUGAAAUGCAUAGAUAUCAUCCAGAACACCGAUUGCGAAGGCAGGUGACUACGUUUGAUUUGACACUGAGGCACGAAAGCAUGGGGAGCAAACAGG